RNAcentral lists this ribosomal RNA (137 nucleotides) under uncultured eukaryote. Its description in RNAcentral is "partial 18S ribosomal RNA". It matches the Rfam family "Eukaryotic small subunit ribosomal RNA", at positions 1299 to 1458 of the family's 1831-position model. The record is from RNAcentral.
UGGUGGAGUGAUUUGUCUGCUUAAUUGCGAUAACGAACGAGACCUUAACCUGCUAAAUAGCCCGGCUCGCCUUGGCGGGUCGCCGGCUUCUUAGAGGGACUAUCGGCUCAAGCCGAUGGAAGUUUGAGGCAAUAACA